UAAUAGCCCCGAUAGCAGCGACAUCCUUUUUUGGCGGUCUGAAAGACAAGACAAAAAAGAUACAGCGGAUAGCGGGAUUGGCU
RNAcentral lists this small RNA (83 nucleotides) under Moheibacter sediminis. RNAcentral describes it as "Flavo-1 RNA". It matches the Rfam family "Flavo-1 RNA". The record is from Rfam by way of RNAcentral. Lineage: Bacteria; Pseudomonadati; Bacteroidota; Flavobacteriia; Flavobacteriales; Weeksellaceae.